Molecule: ribosomal RNA, 212 nt
Filed under: uncultured Staphylococcus sp.
Lineage: Bacteria; Bacillati; Bacillota; Bacilli; Caryophanales; Staphylococcaceae
Description: partial 16S ribosomal RNA
Rfam family: Bacterial small subunit ribosomal RNA
Source: RNAcentral
CGGGAAACCGGAGCUAAUACCGGAUAAUAUUUCGAACCGCAUGGUUCGAUAGUUAAAGGUGGUUUUGCUAUCACUUAUAGAUGGACCCGCGCCGUAUUAGCUAGUUGGUAAGGUAACGGCUUACCAAGGCGACGAUACGUAGCCGACCUGAGAGGGUGGUCGGCCACACUGGAACUGAGACACGGUCCAGACUCCUACGGGAGGCAGCAGUU